Molecule: long non-coding RNA, 514 nt
Organism: Drosophila persimilis
Lineage: Eukaryota; Metazoa; Arthropoda; Insecta; Diptera; Drosophilidae
Exons: 3
Source: RefSeq, a predicted model, not a curated record
CUGCUGCUGCGUCUGCUGCUGAGUCUGCUGCUGCGUCUGCUGCUGCGUCGCUGGAUCGGGAUCCCCCUCGUAAUCUGGCAGGAUUAUCCUUUGGACAGAAAGUGGCUGGCCAAAGAUAAGAGCCACUAUUCUUUCUCGGGGAGUUUGGCCGCUGAGCUCCUCCUCUUCGAGACGGACCAGCGUUGGAAGCGAUUCCUCGGAGAUGGCCGGAUCUGGAUGUUGAUGAUGAUGGCUGCUCCGAUCCUGAUUUUGAGGCUGCAGCGGGCGGAAGUGUUGGAGCAGCUGUUGCAGAUAACGUGGUCUCUGCAAUCGCUGUGGUUCAUACGGCUGCAGUAAUAGUUUCCGAGCCUCCGGAUUGACAUGGCAAGCCAAGGAGUUGGCGAAGCGCCCACUUGCCGCAUGGAACACUUCGUCGAUUGUGUCUAGAUUGCUUUGCACCCGUCGCAGCUGGGAAUCGGAUGUAAGUGCGCCCCAAACCGGAAGACCAUAUUGCCAAAUGGGCAUGAUGAGCUGC